This 389-nucleotide ribosomal RNA is filed under the name uncultured bacterium. RNAcentral describes it as "partial 16S ribosomal RNA". It matches the Rfam family "Bacterial small subunit ribosomal RNA", at positions 355 to 754 of the family's 1533-position model. The record is from RNAcentral.
UGGGGAAUAUUGCACAAUGGGCGAAAGCCUGAUGCAGCGACGCCGCGUGCGGGAUGAAGGCCUUCGGGUUGUAAACCGCUUUUAAUUGGGGGCAAGCGAGAGUGAGUGUACCUUUUGAAUAAACGCACCGGCUAACUACGUGCCAGCAGCCGCGGUAAUACGUAGGGUGCAAGCGUUAUCCGGAAUUAUUGGGCGUAAAGAGCUCGUAGGCGGUUUGUCACGCCUGGUGUGAAAGUCCAUCGCUUAACGGUGGAUCUGCGCCGGGUACGGGCAGGCUAGAGUGCAGUAGGGGAGAUUGGAAUUCCCGGUGUAACGGUGGAAUGUGUAGAUAUCGGGAAGAACACCAAUGGCGAAGGCAGAUCUCUGGGCUGUUACUGACGCUGAGGAGC